Oryctolagus cuniculus (rabbit) is the source of this 806-nucleotide non-coding RNA. NCBI's taxonomy places the organism in Eukaryota, Metazoa, Chordata, Mammalia, Lagomorpha, Leporidae. The record is from RefSeq and is a predicted model, not a curated record.
GGGUGAAUGGGGGGUUCCAAUGGAGGAGGCUGAAAGUGACGGGGAGGGGUGCUGAGAAAAGGGAGGUGGUGUGGGCUCCAAGGGCACGUGUCAGCUCUGCCUGACUCUUCCUGUCCGGGAGUGGAGCUUGCUGUCCCGGUCACGGUCCUUUCUCAGAGCUGGUUGAUAGUGGGGCCCAUGCAGUCAUUGUUUCCGUUAAAGAUGGUGAGAAGAGGGCACAGGACAAGACUGUCAGCUUUCCUUGUGCCUGUGCAGCGUGCUCGUGCCUAGAGAGAAGUGACAGCAGUUACACAGAUGUGAGCAAGAGCACAGAGAAGUCUGAAUGGUAGAAAAGCAGAAAUGCAAUCACAUUACUGAAACUUUGGUGCAUUCGAUGAAGUCCUGGGAAAGUACAGAGAAGAAGACAGGAAGCCUUCAGUCGACCUAGAAGCACUUGAGAUCUCCAGUGUUGUAUGAAAUCCAGCAUGAUGGCCUCAUAGACGCUGCCGAUCCAGGUGUUCUCAUCAUACAGGUGAUCCUGGGAGAAGGCCAUGCUGUUCCAGGCCCCUCCUUCCCCCCCGCCGAGUUUUCCUCUCCAGCAUCCUCAGGACAAAGCUCUCCUUCCUUUUGCAUCAUGAAGGACACAACAAUAAAAUUACAAUCAAUGUAAAGUAUUAGAAAGUUGAAAUGAAAAAUAAAAGCCAAAGCACAAGACCCAUCGUCAUCAUUGGUAGCAGCAGCAGCAGCACACCCAUAAUAUUCAAGAUGAAUAAAAUUAUUCUGUCAACUCUGUGUCUGGAUUUACUGCAUGGAGAACCAGCUACAAC